GAUGAAGAACGCAGCGAAAUGCGAUAAGUAAUGUGAAUUGCAGAAUUCAGUGAAUCAUCGAAUCUUUGAACGCACAUUGCGCCCGCCAGUAUUCUGGCGGGCAUGCCUGUUCGAGCGUCAUUUCAACCAUCAAGCCCCCGGCUUGUGUUGGGGACCUGCGGCUGCCGCAGGCCCUGAAAAGCAGUGGCGGGCUCGCUGUCACACCGAGCGUAGUAGCAUACAUCUCGCUCUGGGCGUGCUGCGGGUUCCGGCCGUUAAACCACCUUCAUAACCCAAGGUUGACCUCGGAUCAGGUAGGAAGACCCGCUGAACUUAAGCAUAUCAAUAAGCAGGA
RNAcentral lists this unclassified non-coding RNA (334 nucleotides) under soil metagenome. RNAcentral's name for it is "partial contains 5.8S ribosomal RNA, internal transcribed spacer 2, and large subunit ribosomal RNA". The stretch from base 1 to 120 matches the Rfam family "5.8S ribosomal RNA", at positions 35 to 154 of the family's 154-position model. The record is from RNAcentral.